AUUGAACGCUGGCGGCAGGCCUAACACAUGCAAGUCGAACGAGUGGCGGACGGGUGGGUAAUGUAUGGGAAACUGCCUGAGGGAGGGGGAUAACUAAUGGAAACGGUAGCUACUACCGCAUAGCAUCGGAUGUGCCGAGAUGGGAUUAGCUAGUGGGUGGGGUAAAGGCUCACCAAGGCGACGAUCCUUAGCUGGUCUGAGAGGAUGACCAGCCACACUGGAACUGAGACACGGUCCAGACUCCUACGGGAGGCAGCAGUGGGGAAUAUUGCACAAUGGGCGCAAGCCUGAUGCAGCCAUGCCGCGUGUAUGAAGAAGGCCUUCGGGUUGUAAAGUACUUUCAGUGGGGAGGCGUUACCCGCAGAAGAAGCACCGGCUAACUCCGUGCCAGCAGCCGCGGUAAUUC
Molecule: ribosomal RNA, 406 nt
Filed under: uncultured bacterium
Lineage: Bacteria
Description: partial 16S ribosomal RNA
Rfam family: Bacterial small subunit ribosomal RNA
Source: RNAcentral